AGAGUUUGAUCAUGGCUCAGAUUGAACGCUGGCGGCAGGCCUAACACAUGCAAGUCGAGCGGAUGAAGGGAGCUUGCUCCUGGAUUCAGCGGCGGACGGGUGAGUAAUGCCUAGGAAUCUGCCUGGUAGUGGGGGAUAACGUCCGGAAACGGGCGCUAAUACCGCAUACGUCCUGAGGGAGAAAGUGGGGGAUCUUCGGACCUCACGCUAUCAGAUGAGCCUAGGUCGGAUUAGCUAGUUGGUGGGGUAAAGGCCUACCAAGGCGACGAUCCGUAACUGGUCUGAGAGGAUGAUCAGUCACACUGGAACUGAGACACGGUCCAGACUCCUACGGGAGGCAGCAGUGGGGAAUAUUGGACAAUGGGCGAAAGCCUGAUCCAGCCAUGCCGCGUGUGUGAAGAAGGUCUUCGGAUUGUAAAGCACUUUAAGUUGGGAGGAAGGGCAGUAAGUUAAUACCUUGCUGUUUUGACGUUACCAACAGAAUAAGCACCGGCUAACUUCGUGCCAGCAGCCGCGGUAAUACGAAGGGUGCAAGCGUUAAUCGGAAUUACUGGGCGUAAAGCGCGCGUAGGUGGUUCAGCAAGUUGGAUGUGAAAUCCCCGGGCUCAACCUGGGAACUGCAUCCGAAACUGGCAGGCUAGAGUCUUGUAGAGGGGGUAGAAUUCCAGGUGUAGCGGUGAAAUGCGUAGAGAUCUGGAGGAAUACCGGUGGCGAAGGCGGCCCCCUGGACAAAGACUGACGCUCAGGUGCGAAAGCGUGGGGAGCAAACAGGAUUAGAUACCCUGGUAGUCCACGCCGUA
Molecule: ribosomal RNA, 800 nt
Filed under: uncultured bacterium
Lineage: Bacteria
Description: bacterial SSU rRNA
Rfam family: Bacterial small subunit ribosomal RNA
Source: RNAcentral